GCCAGCCUCUCUGCGCCCUGCUCGGCGCCGUCGCCUCCCUCGCACCCGUGUGCUCGACGUCCGGCUCUGCGCCCUCCCCGGACAGGACGCGCCCUCCCUCGCCCCGGCAGCCUCUCGACCCUCCCCUCCCCGGCGGCUCGACGUCGCGCUCCUGCACCCGGUCCCGGGCUCCCGGCAACGCGCCCCUCCCUCAGUCCCUCGCCCCGGCGGACCGGCGAUGUGCCCCUCCCCCGCGCCGGCGCCUGCAGCUCAGGAUUCAUGGUAGAUGGACUUUCAAUCUAAAAAUUGACGGUGGAACCUGACUUAGUUGGACUGAUACAGAGUGCAACACGAGCAUUGAGGGUAUGGCAGGGAUUUGAAUUCCGGCGAAAUUUCACCGGUCAAUGAAAUAUGCCAUAUAGUUCAAAAGAAAUCGUAGGUUUUCUCCCACUGACAAGUGAGACCCAGAGCGUGAAGUGGGAAAUUUUAGGUGUUUGGAUUUUGGGAUAUGAGAGAUGGGAAAGGGAAAUGAACACUUAGAUAGAGUUAAACUAAUGUUUGGAUAUUAGGAAUGGGAAAUGAGAGUGGAUCGAGAAACGGAAAUGAGGAGCAUAUAUCCCAAAGAUCUAAAUCCACUGAGGUUUUGUUCGGUUAGCCCCGUGACGGCUGGGGUCGCGGCCUAAACCCCUGCGGAUCAGUUCAGCACGGAAAAUUUUCCAACUUAACAAUUUUUGCAUCUUCGUUUAAGUCUAGUUGGAAUUCUAACCCAGCCCACCAUCGUUUCCCUCUCUUUUGGCCCGGGAAAAAAUCAUCGAGUUUGUAGGUGUGGAAAAAUUCCUCGACGCGAGUUGGAGGCGGCGCUGGGGCCACACGACUCGGAGGCGACGGCGAUGCGGUGAUCUCCCCUCCGGCGUCGGCAGGCUACUACUGAAUAGAGGCGACGAGCACCUCCUUGAGUGCCUCACCCGCGUGGCCGCGCCCCCCUGCGCCUCCCUCUUGCCGCUCCCCGCCAUCUGCCGCCGCUUUGCCUGCCUCCUGCCGCUUCCUACGCCGCCGCAAGAAGUUCUGGCGCAAGAAGUUCGCAGCCGCCACCAUGGUCCAUGGGCGAGCGGAUCUACGACCGCAGAGGAGCCCAGAUCCGUAGAGCAUGGCUUCAAGAUCCGGCAGCUCGUCGGCUCGUCGGAGGGCCGCCGAGGACCCUAGCGAUGAGCUGCCCCUGCUGGACGCCGAGGCGGAGGGCCUGCUGCUGGUGCAGCCUCAGUCACGCGAUGAGCCUGCUGCUGGUGCUGCCUCAGUCAACAACUGAUGUAUGUGUUGAGCUGCUGCUUCUGAUGAGCCGCCGGAUGUAUGAGCAUGUAAAUUGAGCUGAUGUAUAUGUGCAUGUAAAUGGCAACACAUACAAACAACUGAUGUAUGUGCUGCUGCUUGUGCUUCUUCAUUUACAAUGCAAGCAUGUAAAUUGAGCAUGUAAAGUAUGUUAUGAACAACCUAUAUCUGUAUGCAAGCAUGUAAAUUUCAGUCAA
Phragmites australis (common reed) is the source of this 1502-nucleotide long non-coding RNA. RefSeq lists it as uncharacterized. NCBI's taxonomy places the organism in Eukaryota, Viridiplantae, Streptophyta, Magnoliopsida, Poales, Poaceae. The record is from RefSeq and is a predicted model, not a curated record. The transcript has 3 exons.